UACAGAGGUCUCAACCGUUGUUCGGAUUCAUUGGGCGUAAAGGGUGCGUAGGCGGUCGCGCAAGUCGGAUGUGAAAUCUCAGGGCUCAACCCUGAAACUGCAUUCGAUACUGCGUGGCUAGAGUGCUGGAGAGGAGACUGGAAUUUACGGUGUAGCAGUGAAAUGCGUAGAUAUCAGGAGGAACACCAAUAGCGAAGGCAGCUCGCUGGGACGUUACUGACACUGAGGCGCGAAAGCGUGGGGAGCGAACAGG
Molecule: ribosomal RNA, 253 nt
Filed under: uncultured bacterium
Lineage: Bacteria
Description: partial 16S ribosomal RNA
Rfam family: Bacterial small subunit ribosomal RNA
Source: RNAcentral